CCCAAGUGCAAUUUUGUACGGUUUAUAUACAAAGUUUGUCCGUUCGUCUUAUUUAAAAAAAUAUAAUAUUUUUAUUAUUAUUAGAUGAUAAAAUAUGAAUAAUAUUUUAUAUGUAACUAUUUUUUUAUUUUUUUAUAAAUUUUUUAAAUAAGAUAGAUGGUCAAAUAUUGAACACAUAUACCCACAGCUGUACUUAUU
Molecule: microRNA precursor, 198 nt
Filed under: Oryza nivara
Lineage: Eukaryota; Viridiplantae; Streptophyta; Magnoliopsida; Poales; Poaceae
Description: MIR812 microRNA precursor family
Rfam family: MIR812 microRNA precursor family
Source: Rfam by way of RNAcentral